UGAGGAAUAUUGGUCAAUGGGCGCAAGCCUGAACCAGCCAUCCCGCGUGCAGGAAGACGGCCCUAUGGGUUGUAAACUGCUUUUCCAGGGGGAGAAUUUUUCUGUCGUGACAGGAAUUGACGGUACCCUGGGAAUAAGCAUUGGCUAACUCCGUGCCAGCAGCCGCGGUAAUACGGAGGAUGCGAGCGUUAUCCGGAUUUAUUGGGUUUAAAGGGUGCGUGGGCGGAUUGAUAAGUCAGUGGUGAAAACCUGCAGCUUAACUGUAGACUUGCCGUUGAUACUGUCAGUCUUGAGUGUGGUCAAGGUAGGCGGAAUGUGUAAUGUCGCGGUGAAAUGCUUAGAUAUUACACAGAACACCGAUUGCGAAGGCAGCUUACUGGGCCAUUACUGACGCUGAUGCACGAAAGCGUGGGGAUCGAACAG
This 423-nucleotide ribosomal RNA is filed under the name uncultured bacterium. Its description in RNAcentral is "bacterial SSU rRNA". It matches the Rfam family "Bacterial small subunit ribosomal RNA", at positions 355 to 775 of the family's 1533-position model. The record is from RNAcentral.